Molecule: non-coding RNA, 84 nt
Organism: Equus caballus (horse)
Lineage: Eukaryota; Metazoa; Chordata; Mammalia; Perissodactyla; Equidae
Source: Rfam
ACCCUCAAUGGCUCAGUAGCCAGUGUAGAUCCUGUCUUUUGUAAUCAGCAGCUACAUCUGGCUACUGGGUCUCUGAUGGCAUCU